UAUAAGUGCAGUUUUACACUAUUCAUUUUCAACAUUUGACCAUUUAUUUUAUUUAAUUUUUUUUUAUGAUUACUAUUUUUAUUGAUAUUAGAUGAUAAAAUAUGAAUAAUACUUUAUGUGUGACUAACUUUUUUAAAAUUUUUCAUAAAAUUUUUAAAUAAGACGGACGUUACUUAUUUUGGGACGGAUGUAGUAAUU
This 198-nucleotide microRNA precursor is filed under the name Oryza rufipogon (brownbeard rice). RNAcentral's name for it is "MIR812 microRNA precursor family". It matches the Rfam family "MIR812 microRNA precursor family". The record is from Rfam by way of RNAcentral. Lineage: Eukaryota; Viridiplantae; Streptophyta; Magnoliopsida; Poales; Poaceae.